Molecule: ribosomal RNA, 398 nt
Filed under: Iphimediella sp.
Lineage: Eukaryota; Metazoa; Arthropoda; Malacostraca; Amphipoda; Iphimediidae
Description: partial small subunit ribosomal RNA
Rfam family: Eukaryotic small subunit ribosomal RNA
Source: RNAcentral
AGCUCCGAGAGCAUAUGAAAAAGUUGUUGCGAUUAAAACACUCGUAGUUGGACUAUUGGCGAGGGCCUUUGACGGUCCAGGUCGAUAAGGCCGGAACUGUCGGGACUCGCCUUGUUGGUGAGAUUGCACCUCUGGCAUUAAGUUGUUGGGGGACGGCGCUCAUCUACUUCACUUUGAAUAAAUUGGAGUGUUCAAAGCAGACACUAUUAUAGUCAUUGCACAUUUUAGCAUAGGAUGAUAGAAUACGACCCCCGCCGACUUUUGUUAGCCUUGGCGGCGUGGGGUAAUGGUUAAAGGGGAUGGUGGAAGGUCCUUGUAUGGAGCUGUUAGAGGUGAAAUUCUUAGAUCGGCUCUAGACAAACUGCUGCGAAGGCGUUGUACCAACGACGUUUUCAUCA